Molecule: ribosomal RNA, 497 nt
Filed under: uncultured bacterium
Lineage: Bacteria
Description: partial 16S ribosomal RNA
Rfam family: Bacterial small subunit ribosomal RNA
Source: RNAcentral
GACGAACGCUGGCGGCGUGCCUAAUACAUGCAAGUUGAGCGCUGAAGGUUGGUACUUGUACCAACUGGAUGAGCAGCGAACGGGUGAGUAACGCGUGGGGAAUCUGCCUUUGAGCGGGGGGCAACAUUUGGAAACGAAUGCUAAUACCGCAUAAAAACUUUAAACACAAGUUUUAAGUUUGAAAGAUGCAAUUGCAUCACUCAAAGAUGAUCCCGCGUUGUAUUAGCUAGUUGGUGAGGUAAAGGCUCACCAAGGCGAUGAUACAUAGCCGACCUGAGAGGGUGAUCGGCCACAUUGGGACUGAGACACGGCCCCAACUCCUACGGGAGGCAGCCGUAGGGAAUCUUCGGCAAUGGACGAAAGUCUGACCGAGCAACGCCGCGUGAGUGAAGAAGGUUUUCGGAUCGUAAAACUCUGUUGGUAGAGAAGAACGUUGGUGAGAGUGGAAAGCUCAUCAAGUGACGGUAACUACCCAGAAAGGGACGGCUAACUACGUG